AGAGUUUGAUCCUGGCUCAGGACGAACGCUGGCGGCGUGCCUAACACAUGCAAGUCAGGGAGAAAAGGGUAGCAAUAUCCUGAGUAAACCGGCGAACGGGUGAGUAACACGUAGGCAACCUACCUUGUAGACGGGGAUAACCUCGGGAAACCGAAGCUAAUACUCGAUAUUGUUAUGAUGUAGCAUUGCAAUAUAAUGAAAGGCUCGCAAGAGCGCUACAAGAUGGGCCUGCGUCCCAUUAGAUAGUUGGCGGGGUAAUGGCCCACCAAGUCGACGAUGGGUAGCUGGUCUGAGAGGACGAUCAGCCACACUGGAACUGAGACACGGUCCAGACUUCUACGGAAGGCAGCAGUGAGGAGUAUUGCUCAAUGGGCGAAAGCCUGAAGCAGCGACGCCGCGUGAGGGAUGAAAUCCGUUAGGAUGUAAACCUCUUUUGCAGGGGAAGAAUGUUCCGACUUCGGUCGGAAUUGACGGUACUCUGCGAAUAAGCACCGGCAAACUACGUGCCAGCAGCCGCGGUAAUACGUAGGGUGCGAGCGUUGUCCGGAAUUACUGGGUGUAAAGGGUCCGCAGGCGGAUUCGUAAGUCGAUGGUGAAAUCUUCUGGCUCAACCAGGAGUCUGCUGUCGAUACUAUGGAUCUUGAGUUCGAGAGAGGAUAAUGGAAUUCAUGGUGUAGCGGUGAAAUGCGUAGAGAUCAUGAAGAACACCGGUAGCGAAGGCGGUUAUCUGGCUCGAAACUGACGCUCAGGGACGAAAGCGUGGGUAGCAAACAGGAUUAGAUACCCUGGUAGUCCACGCCUUAAACGAUGGAUGUUCGGUGUCGGCCCGCGAGGGUCGGUGCCUGAGCUAACGCGUUAAACAUCCCACCUGGGGAGUACGAUCGCAAGGUUGAAACUCAAAGGAAUUGACGGGGGCCCGCACAAGCAGUGGAGCAUGUGGUUCAUUCGAUGCAACGCGAAGAACUUACCUGGGUUUGAAAGGCAAGUGACAACUGAUGAAAGUCAGUCUUGUAGCAAUACACACUUGUACAGGUGCUGCAUGGCUGUCGUCAGCUCGUGCCGUGAGGUGUUAGGUUAAGUCCUGCAACGAGCGCAACCCUGCACUUAGUUGCCAUCAGGUCAAGCUGGGCACUCUAGGUGGACUGCCUACACGCAAGUAGUGAGGAAGGUGGGGAUGACGUCAAGUCCUCAUGGCCCUUACACCCAGGGCCACACACGUGCUACAAUGGACGCCACAAAGGGCUGCUAAGACGCAAGUCGGAGCCAAUCCCAAAAAAGCGUCCUCAGUUCGGAUUGGGGUCUGCAACUCGACCCCAUGAAGCUGGAAUUGCUAGUAAUCGCGGAUCAGCACGCCGCGGUGAAUACGUUCCCGGGCCUUGUACACACCGCCCGUCAAGCCAUGGAAACUGGGGGUACCCGAAGUCACUGACUGAACCCGCAAGGGACAGAGGUGCCUAAGGUAAAACCAGCGACUGGGGCUAAGUCGUAACAAGGUA
This 1496-nucleotide ribosomal RNA is filed under the name uncultured bacterium. Its description in RNAcentral is "bacterial SSU rRNA". It matches the Rfam family "Bacterial small subunit ribosomal RNA". The record is from RNAcentral.